ACGGACAUCAGGGAUUCAUUCUGCGAACCCUGACCGACCGCCAGAUAAGAGUGCAUACCCAGCUCGCGCAUCUGCUGCUCGCCAAUCACGCGAGUGACGACGUUCUUGCUGAAGGAGUCUGCCAGCUGGCGCGCCUGCGACGCCAGAUAGCCCGCAUUACAGAUAUUUGGCGGCAUAUUGCCGAGAUCUUUCGC
Molecule: antisense RNA, 194 nt
Filed under: Enterobacter kobei
Lineage: Bacteria; Pseudomonadati; Pseudomonadota; Gammaproteobacteria; Enterobacterales; Enterobacteriaceae
Description: Yersinia sRNA 276
Rfam family: Yersinia sRNA 276
Source: RNAcentral